CGAAGGGGGCUAGCGUUGUUCGGAAUUACUGGGCGUAAAGCGUACGUAGGCGGAUUUGUAAGUAGGGGGUGAAAUCCCCAGGCUCAACCUGGGAACUGCCUUCUAGACUGCAAGUCUUGAGAUCAGGAGAGGCGAGUGGAAUUCCGAGUGUAGAGGUGAAAUUCGUAGAUAUUCGGAGGAACACCAGUGGCGAAGGCGACUCGCUGGACUGAUACUGACGCUGAGGUACGAAAGCGUGGGGAGCAAACAGGAUUAGAUACCCUGGUAGUCCACGCCUUAAACGAUGAGAGCUAGUUGUCAGUAAGCAUGCUUAUUGGUGACGCAGCUAACGCAUUAAGCUCUCCGCCUGGGGAGUACGGCCGCAAGGUUA
Molecule: ribosomal RNA, 370 nt
Filed under: uncultured organism
Description: bacterial SSU rRNA
Rfam family: Bacterial small subunit ribosomal RNA
Source: RNAcentral